AGCUCCAAUAGCGUAUAUUAAAGUUGUUGCAGUUAAAAAGCUCGUAGUUGGAUUUCGGGGCGGCCCGGCCGGUCCGCCGCAAGGCGAGUACUGGUCGGGCGCCCUUCCUCUCGAAGGCUUCGACUGCUCUUGAUUGCGGUGGUCGAGGAGUUCGGGACGUUUACUUUGAAAAAAUUAGAGUGUUCAAGGCAGGCCGUGGCCUGAAUACAUUAGCAUGGAAUAAUGGAAGAGGACCUCGGUCCUAUUUUGUUGGUUUCCAGGGCCGAAGUAAUGAUUGAGAGGGACAGUUGGGGGCAUUCGUAUUUAAUUGUCAGAGGUGAAAUUCUCGGAUUUAUGAAAGACGAACAAGUGCGAAAGCAUUUGCCAAGGAUGUUUUCA
Molecule: ribosomal RNA, 378 nt
Filed under: uncultured eukaryote
Lineage: Eukaryota
Description: SSU rRNA
Rfam family: Eukaryotic small subunit ribosomal RNA
Source: RNAcentral